CCAAGAUGAGCAGCACUGUGAAAUGGAAUUGUGGAAUCAUGGGACAAAAGUUUCUGAUACACAGAAUUAUUGAAAAAACCCUAAUAUUACAAUAUAAUCAGAUAAAAUACAGGAAUCAGCCUCAGUGUGACAGAUGUUCUUGAUGGAAAUGAGAUAAAGCUUUAACAUUUAAAAAUGAUUUUAUUUCUAAAUGUAAGAAAAACAACAGACAUUUUUUUUACAGCCAGACUCAGCGUGACAAAAAGGACUGCAGAGAGUCCACAUCAGUCCAUCGUGAAGACCAUGAUAAGCUGCUCGUCACUGGAAUAUUCACACAAAUGAAAUAAGAACAACACAAUGAGGCUAAAUAGAAAAGUGAACUUUCCUGAGGAGUUUUCAGAUGCAACAAAUUGUUCUGGAGAUGCUGUUUUAACCAUAGGUGCUUCCACUGCUCUGAUUUUAACUGGUAGAUGUUAACAUGUUUGACAUCAGCCUGAAAACUCCUGCAAUCUGAGCCGAGGUUCAGUGAAAACCUCCUCCACUCUGGUAACCAAUAUCUCUGGAGACUAAGCAAUGAAAAAAAAUGCUUGCUGCAGCACCACCUGGUGGUGAAAUUCCAAGAGGGUGUACGCACGUUUAUCUUCAAUCUUUGAAGAGUUACAUCGCUCAAGAAUAACCCCUCGCCUGCUCAACUAUGUAGGCAAUCAGAGAGGAACACGACAGAGCAACUUGUGCUGUUUGGAGAAUAUACAGGAAAAUCAAAAUGAUACAAAAUCAAGUUCAAUGUUUGUCCCGGGAGUCUGCAGAGAAACUAAUUUUUCUUCUGCACCAGUAAAUAAAAAAAAAAAAAACAGAAGCUGCUGAGUCUGAACGUCCAACCCUGGAGUGACUCAUUCUUUGUUUUCUUUUAUUCAUGGUCUGUGAGAGAAUAAAAUGUACAUUUAAGUUUUCCAUAUCUUGUACAGCAGCUCACUUUUUUUUCAUUCAUUCUUUCACUCUACAACAGAAGCAGGUUGACAUGUUGAAGCAACUUUACUCCUCCGUGAUUCGCUGAAGACCUCAACGUAAAACAAGACAUUUAACGUUCAGCCUGCUGCAGAGAGACUUGGAGUAAACCGAACGAGACUCCACGUUAAAACCCAACAAAACAUCCAAGUGAGAGCUGAAGAUGGAGGUUCAGAUGCUUCCAUCCAGUCUGAGAGGAAAGUUCAGGUGAGCAGAGUCUGCAGGGACUGGAACAAGAAGACGACAGCUAAAAGAGCUUCUACAACAACAUAAUAUGAGGCGAAUAUUAAAUUAGCUGAUGUAAAGCUAAUGUUAUGUUAGGUAACGUAAAUCAAUGAUGCAUUAGCUAGUAUAAACCAGUGAUAAGUUAGCAGAUAUAAAGCUAAUGUUAUAUUAACUGAUGUUAAGCUAACGUUACACAACAUAAUAUGAGGCGAACAUUAAAUUAGCUGAUGUAAAGCUAAUGUUAUGUUAGGCAACGUAAAUCAAUGACGCAUUAGCUACUGUAAUAUAAACCAGUGAUAAGUUAGCAGAUAUAAAGCUAAUGUUACAUUAGGUAGUGCAAACCAAUGAUACAUUAGCUGAUAUAAAACCAUCGCUUAAGUUAGCAGAUAAAAAGCUAACAUUACAUUGUCAGUGGUACAGCCAGCUAAUAAUUGUCUUUUUAAUAUUUAAUGAAAGAUAUUUUUUGAGUAAGA
This is a long non-coding RNA of Amphiprion ocellaris (clown anemonefish), 1682 nucleotides long. Lineage: Eukaryota; Metazoa; Chordata; Actinopteri; Pomacentridae. The record is from Ensembl.